This 412-nucleotide ribosomal RNA is filed under the name Acinetobacter sp. DN16. RNAcentral's name for it is "bacterial SSU rRNA". It matches the Rfam family "Bacterial small subunit ribosomal RNA", at positions 386 to 790 of the family's 1533-position model. Lineage: Bacteria; Pseudomonadati; Pseudomonadota; Gammaproteobacteria; Moraxellales; Moraxellaceae. The record is from RNAcentral.
AUCCAGCCAUGCCGCGUGUGUGAAGAAGGCCUUAUGGUUGUAAAGCACUUUAAGCGAGGAGGAGGCUACUUUAGUUAAUACCUAGAGAUAGUGACGUUACUCGCAGAAGAAUCACCGGCUAACUCUGGGCCAGCAGCCGCGGUAAUACAGAGGGUGCAAGCGUUAAUCGGAUUUACUGGGCGUAAAGCGCGCGUAGGCGGCUAAUUAAGUCAAAUGUGAAAUCCCCGAGCUUAACUUGGGAAUUGCAUUCAAUACUGGUUAGCUAGAGUGUGGGAGAGGAUGGUAGAAUUCCAGGUGUAGCGGUGAAAUGCGUAAAGAUCUGGAGGAAUACCGAUGGCGAAGGCAGCCAUCUGGCCUAACACUGACGCUGAGGUGCGAAAGCCUGGGGAGCAAACAGGAUUAGAUACCCUGG